AUGGCUGGUCCUCGUAUAUUUUGGUACAUUCACAAACUCCUGUAUCUUAGCUUUCACUGGACGUCUGACAAGGCAAAUCAUCUUCGUUUGACAAAGAAGAAUCUGCCAAAAAGGGGACUUGCUUCUUUCAAGUUUGUGUGCUUGUCUUGGGGGAGAGCAAAGAAAAGGAAAGGAAAAGGAGAGCCAUGGAGACUAUUCAAUGCAGCCACCAAGCUUUGGAAGAAAACCCCUGAAGACAGUACAAAGUGCGGCCACCACAAGCAAUGUGAGUGUCUAGAUCAGGGUUUUUCAGUGUACACACUGCUAACCACCAGUUUAGGAUCAUCUGAUUUAUUAAAAAUGAAGAUUUCUAGAUUACCUUGGACCAACCGAAUGGAAUCUCUGGGCGAGGGAACUUGCAGUUUUGUUAAGUAUGCAAGGUGCUUUGUGAAGCAUCUCCCUUUGAGACCCACUGCCACUGGCCCCAGGUCAAGGAAAGAAAGAAAAUAUUGGGGAGUGGGUGCUGGCUUCUGAGAAAGCACCCAUGACUGAAGGGUGGAAAAGCAUGGCAUAACACGCGCAUACAUUGCUGUAGGAGUGAAAAGGAAGGGGAGGGAGGGUGUGUGAGGUACAACUAGAGUAUAGGGUGCACAGAACAGGGAUCAGGAUGCAGGUUUGCUCUGGGAAUCAUGAGCCUCGAUGAUAACUGAGACCAUGGGGAUGGAUUAGGUUUCUGCUAAUGCCAGAAUUUUUGCAAUCAGCAUAAAAAAUGGUAUAGAAAGUCACCCCCCUCCCUUUUAUUAUAGUGCUUUUAAGAUUUAUAGAGUACCAACUACAGUGAGAACAUUGCAUUAGCAGCUGUCAAAGAAAACAAGAGCUUAUCAUGCACUUGAAGUUGAACCAAAACAAAAUCUGUAAUUUAUAUCUAAGAGUGACUACAAAGCAACAUACAAUAAGUGCAAAUUCAUUCAUUUAACAAAAACUCAUCGUGUCUGUUACGUGCAGGCUCCACAAAGGUGUGGUUUAUCAGAAGGUGACCUGGCGAGCUUAAAGGCAGAUUUUGAAAGAAAGUGAAAACAGAUUACAGAGAGUUUAAGGCACUCUAAAUAAGGAUUUAGAGUCACAGAGUUCAGAAGGAGGGGACGUAACUUCAUUCAUCCAACAUUCCAUAAAUAUUUAUUGAGUGCCUACUGUGUUGUAGACACUGGAAAUAUAGCAGUAAGUAAAACAGACGAAAAAAAAUCCCUGCCCUCCUGGAGCUUAAUAUUCUGGUAGGAGAAAGACAAGAAAACACAGUAAAUAAGUUAUAUAGUAUAUCAGGAAAUGGUAAGUGCUUUGGAAAAAAUAAAGCAGGAAGAAGGACAGAAUUUGGGGGUGAG
Molecule: long non-coding RNA, 1358 nt
Filed under: Felis catus (domestic cat)
Lineage: Eukaryota; Metazoa; Chordata; Mammalia; Carnivora; Felidae
Description: lncRNA (ENSFCAG00000051104.1)
Source: RNAcentral